Long non-coding RNA from Parus major (Great Tit), 501 nucleotides. RefSeq lists it as uncharacterized. The transcript has 4 exons. The record is from RefSeq and is a predicted model, not a curated record. Lineage: Eukaryota; Metazoa; Chordata; Aves; Passeriformes; Paridae.
UACAUAUUCCAGGCCAGGCAUUUCUCAAGAACUGCUUGUUUCUUUGUGGUUAUAGGUUGAAUAUUUGCUUUAUUGGUUACUACUUCUCACCAGGACACCUGAUAUUGUGUCUGCUCCCAGAUCUGCAAGUACAGUGGAAAGUGACACUGAUGGUCAUAAGGAUCUGAAUCACAGUUCAUCUCACUAGCAAGUGCUGUAAGUCAAAUCAACAUGUUGGAGGAUGUGAGUAAUAACAAGUGCACUGUUUCUUCUCUAGCUGAUGAUGGAAUUACCUGAAACGUGGAAGAAUCUUAGAAAGAUUGACUUCAAUGCGAAGCAUGAAGUGGUACCUCUACAGUCCAAAGUGUGUGCUUUUGGAGAUUGCUCAACUGAAUGCCCUUAUAAACAUGCUGUUAGGGGAACUCACCCCUGGUGAUCAUCAGAACAUCAUGACAAUAUGCACAAUUGAUGUACAUGCGAGGGAUGUUGUAGCCACGCUUAUAGCACAGAAGGUAAUUUGUU